UCGGGAAUAUUGCGCAAUGGAGGAAACUCUGACGCAGUGACGCCGCGUAUAGGAAGAAGGUUUUCGGAUUGUAAACUAUUUUAGUCAGGGAAGAGAAAAGACGGUACCUGAAGAAUAAGCUCCGGCUAACUACGUGCCAGCAGCCGCGGUAAUACGUAGGGAGCAAGCGUUAUCCGGAAUCAUUGGGUGUAAAGGGUGCGUAGACGGGAAUACAAGUUAGUUGUGAAAGCCCUCGGCUUAACUGAGGAACUGCAACUAAAACUAUAUUUCUUGAGUGCAGGAGAGGAAAGCGGAAUUCCUAGUGUAGCGGUGAAAUGCGUAGAUAUUAGGAGGAACACCAGUGGCGAAGGCGGCUUUCUGGACUGUAACUGACGUUGAGGCACGAAAGUGUGGGGAGCAAACAGG
RNAcentral lists this ribosomal RNA (405 nucleotides) under uncultured bacterium. Its description in RNAcentral is "bacterial SSU rRNA". It matches the Rfam family "Bacterial small subunit ribosomal RNA", at positions 355 to 776 of the family's 1533-position model. The record is from RNAcentral.